GAGCAUAAGGGAACAGUAAAAAGGAGGAGGAAAAUUGAAUUUCAAGAAGAGAGCAUAAGGGAACAGAAAAAAAAAAAAAAGAGAAAAAAAUUCAAUUUUAAGAAGAGAGCAUAAGGGAACAAAAAAAAGAAAGGAAGAGAAAAAUCCAAUUUCGAAAAGAGAACGUAGAGGAACAGAAAGAAAAGGGCUUCGUGUUGCGCUCAUCCCUGGUUUUUAUAUCUCUCCUUUUCU
This 231-nucleotide long non-coding RNA is filed under the name Vigna radiata. RNAcentral describes it as "long non-coding RNA (VRAD_LNC003563)". Lineage: Eukaryota; Viridiplantae; Streptophyta; Magnoliopsida; Fabales; Fabaceae. The record is from RNAcentral.